UGGGGAAUAUUGGACAAUGGGCGCAAGCCUGAUCCAGCAAUGCCGCGUGUGUGAAGAAGGCCUUCGGGUUGUAAAGCACUUUUAUCAGGAGCGAAACGCUGUCGGCUAAUACCCGGCGGAACUGACGGUACCUGAGGAAUAAGCACCGGCUAACUUCGUGCCAGCAGCCGCGGUAAUACGAAGGGUGCAAGCGUUAAUCGGAAUUACUGGGCGUAAAGCGUGCGUAGGCGGUUUCUUAAGUCUGCUGUGAAAUCCCCGGGCUCAACCUGGGAAUGGCAGUGGAUACUGGGAGGCUAGAGUGUGUCAGAGGGUGGUGGAAUUCCCGGUGUAGCGGUGAAAUGCGUAGAGAUCGGGAGGAACAUCAGUGGCGAAGGCGGCCACCUGGGACAACACUGACGCUGAGGCACGAAAAGCGUGGGGGAGCAAACAGGAUUAGGAUACCCUGGUAGUCCACGCCCUAAACGAUGCGAACUGGAUGUUGGUCUCAACUCGGAGAUCAGUGUCGAAGCUAACGCGUUAAGUUCGCCGCCU
RNAcentral lists this ribosomal RNA (531 nucleotides) under uncultured bacterium. RNAcentral describes it as "partial 16S ribosomal RNA". It matches the Rfam family "Bacterial small subunit ribosomal RNA", at positions 355 to 874 of the family's 1533-position model. The record is from RNAcentral.